UCUACCUUUACAGGAAAAGUUUUUUUUGAAGUGUUUAAGCAAGAAGGUUACUCGUCUACUGCAAUGUUUUCCUAUCUUUUGAUUGUUAUGUUUCAAUUCACUGCAAAUUCUUAGGGCGAUGAGGAGAAGAAAAAAGAUGGUGAAGACGAGGAGGAAGAACAAGAGCAGAAAAUUGAAGGGGAGGAAGAAGAAUUUAGUGACGACGGAGAUUACAACCAGGUACGUGGGUAAACAUUCUGCUUCCUCAAAUGGACAUCCAUAUUUAAGGAAUUUGAAUCAGAAUGCUUUAUGUUCCUCUAGUAUGAAUUAUACUUGCAUUGCUUGCCUACCUAGAUCAACAUCAUUAAGCCUCAUAGAAAAGUGUAUAUCUACACAAAGCUUAAGUAUUUUGAAACUGUUGAACAUUGGUACAUAAUCUUUAUGAUUAUGAUGAUGAUGAAGACGACUACAAUAUGAAUGAAGAUAAUAAUGGUACAGUCCUACUUGCAGUUUCUUUCUUCUUUUAUUUGAUGCAGCAUUAUUGAUUACUUCUUAUUGCCGUUCGAAUGCUUUUGAAUAAUGCUAAGGAACGUGUGUUGAAGAUGAAGGCAUGUAUUGAAGGUUGCUUGUUGGGGCGGUUUUUGCUUGCCUUAGGAAAUUUUUCGGAGAUUGAAGUCUUUAAUUAUGUUAUUGGAUUUUCUAGAAAGCUUACCUCACACACCGGCCUUGUAUACUAGCAACAACAUUUAACUUUGGGCUAUCAGUUACAACAUUUUUGCCUUCUUUUAGAAAAAUAUUUCCUAAUGUUAUAAAUCCACU
Molecule: long non-coding RNA, 798 nt
Filed under: Nicotiana benthamiana
Lineage: Eukaryota; Viridiplantae; Streptophyta; Magnoliopsida; Solanales; Solanaceae
Description: long non-coding RNA (NBEN_LNC039985)
Source: RNAcentral